UACGGAGGAUGCGAGCGUUAUCCGGAUUUAUUGGGUUUAAAGGGUGCGUAGGCGGGAUGCCAAGUCAGCGGUAAAAAUGCGGUGCUCAACGCCGUCGAGCCGUUGAAACUGGCGUUCUUGAGUGAGCGAGAAGUAUGCGGAAUGCGUGGUGUAGCGGUGAAAUGCAUAGAUAUCACGCAGAACUCCGAUUGCGAAGGCAGCAUACCGGCGCCCUACUGACGCUGAGGCACGAAAGCGUGGGUAUCGAACAGG
Molecule: ribosomal RNA, 252 nt
Filed under: uncultured bacterium
Lineage: Bacteria
Description: partial 16S ribosomal RNA
Rfam family: Bacterial small subunit ribosomal RNA
Source: RNAcentral